This 65-nucleotide transfer RNA is filed under the name Fuelleborniella sp. FuspCA. RNAcentral describes it as "tRNA-Leu". The record is from RNAcentral. Lineage: Eukaryota; Metazoa; Arthropoda; Insecta; Psocodea; Caeciliusidae.
AUUAUUUUGGCAGAUUAGUGCUUUGAAUUUAGAAUUCAAAUAUAUAAAUUUAUUUAUAAAUAAUA